This 252-nucleotide ribosomal RNA is filed under the name uncultured bacterium. RNAcentral describes it as "partial 16S ribosomal RNA". It matches the Rfam family "Bacterial small subunit ribosomal RNA", at positions 524 to 776 of the family's 1533-position model. The record is from RNAcentral.
UACGGAGGGUGCAAGCGUUACUCGGAAUCACUGGGCGUAAAGGACGCGUAGGCGGGUUGUCAAGUCAGGUGUGAAAUCCUACAGCUUAACUGUAGAGCUGCACUUGAAACUGGCAGCCUAGAGUAUGGGAGGGGGAGACGGAAUUAGUGGUGUAGGGGUAAAUCCGUAGAUAUCACUAGGAAUACCUAAAGCGAAGGCGAUCUCCUGGAACAUUACUGACGCUAAGGCGUGAAAGCGUGGGGAGCAAACAGG